This 20-nucleotide microRNA is filed under the name Branchiostoma belcheri (Belcher's lancelet). RNAcentral describes it as "bbe-miR-2060c-3p". The record is from miRBase by way of RNAcentral. Lineage: Eukaryota; Metazoa; Chordata; Leptocardii; Amphioxiformes; Branchiostomatidae.
GUUCAGCACCAAGGACAGGC